UAGGGAAUCUUCCACAAUGGGCGAAAGCCUGAUGGAGCAACGCCGCGUGUGUGAUGAAGGCUUUCGGGUCGUAAAGCACUGUUGUAUGGGAAGAACAGCUAGAAUAGGAAAUGAUUUUAGUUUGACGGUACCAUACCAGAAAGGGACGGCUAAAUACGUGCCAGCAGCCGCGGUAAUACGUAUGUCCCGAGCGUUAUCCGGAUUUAUUGGGCGUAAAGCGAGCGCAGACGGUUUAUUAAGUCUGAUGUGAAAGCCCGGAGCUCAACUCCGGAAUGGCAUUGGAAACUGGUUAACUUGAGUGCAGUAGAGGUAAGUGGAACUCCAUGUGUAGCGGUGGAAUGCGUAGAUAUAUGGAAGAACACCAGUGGCGAAGGCGGCUUACUGGACUGCAACUGACGUUGAGGCUCGAAAGUGUGGGUAGCAAACAGGAUUAGAUACCCUGGUAGUCCACACCGUAAACGAUGAACACUAGGUGUUAGGAGGUUUCCGCCUCUUAGUGCCGAAGCUAACGCAUUAAGUGUUCCGCCUGGGGAGUACGACCGCAAGGUUGAAACUCAAAGGAAUUGACGGGGACCCGCACAAGCGGUGGAGCAUGUGGUUUAAUUCGAAGCAACGCGAAGAACCUUACCAGGUCUUGACAUCCUUUGAAGCUUUUAGAGAUAGAAGUGUUCUCUUCGGAGACAAAGUGACAGGUGGUGCAUGGUCGUCGUCAGCUCGUGUCGUGAGAUGUUGGGUUAAGUCCCGCAACGAGCGCAACCCUUAUUGUUAGUUGCCAGCAUUCAGAUGGGCACUCUAGCGAGACUGCCGGUGACAAACCGGAGGAAGGCGGGGACGACGUCAGAUCAUCAUGCCCCUUAUGACCUGGGCUACACACGUGCUACAAUGGCGUAUACAACGAGUUGCCAACCCGCGAGGGUGAGCUAAUCUCUUAAAGUACGUCUCAGUUCGGAUUGUAGUCUGCAACUCGACUACAUGAAGUCGAAAUCGCUAGUAAUCGCGGAUCAGCACGCCGCGGUGAAUACGUUCCC
This 1028-nucleotide ribosomal RNA is filed under the name uncultured organism. Its description in RNAcentral is "bacterial SSU rRNA". It matches the Rfam family "Bacterial small subunit ribosomal RNA", at positions 355 to 1375 of the family's 1533-position model. The record is from RNAcentral.